Molecule: ribosomal RNA, 465 nt
Filed under: uncultured bacterium
Lineage: Bacteria
Description: partial 16S ribosomal RNA
Rfam family: Bacterial small subunit ribosomal RNA
Source: RNAcentral
CUACGGGUUGCUCCAGUGGGGAAUAUUGGACAAUGGGCGCAAGCCUGAUCCAGCAAUGCCGCGUGUGUGAAGAAGGCCUGCGGGUUGUAAAGCACUUUCGGUUGGGAGGACUGCUUCUAGCACUAAUAUUGUUGGAAGUUGACGUUACCUUCAGAAGAAGCACCGGCUAACUCCGUGCCAGCAGCCGCGGUAAUACGGAGGGUGCAAGCGUGAAUCGGAAUUACUGGGCGUAAAGCGCGUGUAGGCGGCUAGAUCAGUCGGGUGUGAAAGCCCCGGGCUUAACCUGGGAACUGCAUCCGAUACUGUCUAGCUUGAGUACAGGAGAGGAGAGUGGAAUUCCACAUGUAGCGGUGAAAUGCGUAGAUAUGUGGAGGAACACCAAUGGCGAAGGCAGCUCUCUGGCCUGAUACUGACGCUGAGGUGCGAAAGCGUGGGGAGCAAACAGGAUUAGAUACCCCCGUAGUC